This is a non-coding RNA of Carica papaya (papaya), 210 nucleotides long. The record is from RefSeq and is a predicted model, not a curated record. NCBI's taxonomy places the organism in Eukaryota, Viridiplantae, Streptophyta, Magnoliopsida, Brassicales, Caricaceae.
GGCGACAACCCUAAAAAAUAUUCUCUCAUUUUUUAUCAAAGGUAAUCUGCGAGAUCCCGAAGACCAAGGUAAUUAUGAGGUUUUACUAGAAGCAAACCCUGGUUUAGAGACAGUCGUCGCAGUUAACCCGAGGGUUAAGUUCUCUGUCUCUCUCAUUGUCUUUAUAUAUACAUUUUAUAUUCGCGGAGUCAAAUAUUAUUAUAUUCUGUC